Molecule: RNA transcript, 3630 nt
Organism: Caretta caretta (loggerhead turtle)
Lineage: Eukaryota; Metazoa; Chordata; Testudines; Cheloniidae
Source: RefSeq, a predicted model, not a curated record
UCCCUUCCAGCUGACUCAGGGCUUCGCUGUCCGGUGACCGAGGGGGAAAGUACCGCUGCUGCAGAUCGGGCCCGUGGGAUCAGGCUCCCCAGAGCACCCCCUCCUGGGGUCCAUGGCCCGCCCUGGUCCUGCCUCCUGGGUUCAUGGUCCCCUCCAUCCUCUCUGGGUCCAGGGGCCCCUUCCAUCUUCUCUGGGUCCUGACCCCCUCCCUUGUCCAGGGGUCCCCCCUGAUCCCCAGACCCCGAUCUGGGCCCAUCCCCCUCAUAUGGGGCUUUGCCCCUGCAGCGUCUUCCCUCCCUGGGUGUGGGGGCCCUGUGUGCUGGGGCAGUUUGGGGGGGUUGGAGGGAGGUGACCCCUAAACCUUCCUGGUUCCAACUCACCCUCCCACCUUUCUGUUCCUUUUUGUACUUCUCCCUGCAUGGAUCUCCCGGCGCCCAUCCCAGUGGCACCUGUCCUGCUCCCCAUGACUCCUGGGGGCUGUUGGGGGGCUGUUCCCCACUCAGACCUCACCCCCCCGUACAGCAACUCGGGCGCUCUGCCAGAAGCAGCUGCAGCAGCCAGAGCUGCAGCCGGUGGCUUGCUGUAGCUUUCACGCCGACUCCCUUUCUCCGGUCUGGGAACUAGGCGUCAGAGUUAAAUCCCAGCGACAAACAACCAGCCCUGCUUCCCCGGCAGAGCCUUUCCCGGGGCUUCCGCCAUUUCCCGGUCUGUGGUGCUUACCCCGGAGCGGGCGAAGAGGUGCCUGGCUCCCGGCUGUGAAUACCUGCUCCGUUGGGACACGGCAGCAGUGCAGGCCCUGCUGUGGCACCGGCCCGGGGCUAGCGGUGGCAGGCAGAUGAGGUCACACUGGAGGGAAGGCGCACUAGCCAUUGGCACGGCUCACCUGGGGCUGUGGUGGAUCCUCUGUGGCGGCCAGUGUUUGAUGUGGGACGGACAGGGCUGGGCCUCAUUUUCCCCAGGAGUUUGUUCCAGGCCCUGCGGGUUACCCAGGUGAUCCCAAUGUUCCCGUCUGUCCUUGGAGCUGGGAAGUCUCCAGCUGGCCCAGCGGCGAUCCCCCGACCCCGGAGCCAAGAUGACUCAGUGCGGCCUCCUGACCGGCUCCAACAAGCCGGUGCCUCUGCGCAGCGGCUCGGUGAUGGUGCUGAUCCGAGGCUUCGUGGCUGACGUGGGCUGCGAGCUGCCCUACAGGAAUGAAGAGCCAGGGCCCGUGGAGGCCGUGUUCGUAUUCCCCGUGGACACUGAGGCGGCCGUCUACGCCUUCCAGGCCCGCCUGGCGGAAGCCUGUAUCCGUGGAAAAAAAACAGGCUCCCUGAUGGGCGACCCGGCUGUGAUGGUGACCCUGCUGCCCAGCCUGCCUGAGGCGGUGCCGGGCCAGAGCCCAGCCAGGGAGUUCAUCUUCCUGCUGGACCGCUCCGGCAGCAUGGAGUGCCCCAGGGACGGCCGAGACCACUCCCCCCAGCGCAUCGACAGCGCCAAGGAACAGCCUCACAUGCCGUCCGGGAUCCGCUGGAUCAGUGCUGUGCCCCCAGCUUUGGAGCAGCUCCUUGCAGAACCCCCUUAGAUGGGCUGGACCCCCAGGCCUCACCGCCUCUUGGACUGACCCUCAAGGGCUGCAGCCCUCCCGCCUCACCCCGUGAGCUCCAUGGAGUGAGGCCAGCGGAGCCGGAGCCCAGGGAGAGCCAUGGCUGUUCGGCAGGGACCAGGAUUUGCAGCAACACUCAAGCAGCGCACACGAAACAGCCGGGCCUGUUCGUCCCUUGGGCACAGGGAGAAGCCAGGAGUCCUGAGUCCAGGGCCACCCUGCUCAAGCCACUAGGCCAUCUCUGCCUCCAGGAACCAGAGCAGAACCCGGGAACACCGUGGGCCAGGCCCCUGCUCUAGUCCCUACCACCCAAAGCCACCCCAGGGCCAAGCAGAGCAGCUAGGAACCGGGGACCGGAUGGGCACAGAGGGGGCGUUACAUGCUGGAGUGUUCAGACAUUACUAGCUGUGGUGCACUACGGGAGGCCACGUACAUGAGUACAGACAGUCGUACGAGUUGCUUGAGUUAUUCUGCGUGUGGAUUUUUUCUCUCUCUAUCUGAAGAACGUAGACAGGGCCUGCCUUGAAGGCCACUGAAGUUGGCUGGAAAUGGGGAUUUCCAAAGGAGCCUACGGGGACUAGGCAACCAGCUUCCGCCGACGGAGUUUAUCUGAAGACCACUGAAAAGACUCGGGCUGAAAUUCUGCACCCGCUGGAGUGGAAGACAAAAGGCCCUUUGAUUUCAAUGGGGACAGGAUGUCAUCACUGGCAUUUAAGUCCCACUGUUCAUAGCGGGCGGUCAGAAUUAGGAUCUCUGAGUUCCAUCUGCCCUUUGGGGGGAAUCUCAGCCAAAGGGCUGCGUUCCUUCCCAGUGCUGGCUCAACGCAGUCGAUCAGUUACCCGGUUUCCUGAUCCUUCCCCAGAGCCUCCGUGCAGUGCGGGGCAUGGGGCGGCGACAGGACCCGGGGGCUGUGCAUUACGUUGGCUGAGUUGCCUUCUCAGACAUGGAAAGGCUAAACUAGGGACAUGACCAACCACAGAGUCACGUGGUGAGAGCAGUUCGACGGGGGUCGAGGCUGGUUAACACGAAGAGGGAAAACUGUUUGCUUCUUCGCUAUUUUCCUGCAGUUCCUCGAUAAACAUAUCGCUUCCUCCCCAGGGAAUUAAAGAGCUGAGGUCUUCCAGCGUUUGCUUGAGCCCCAGUACGUCCUGAGAAGGGCCCGAUGCUGCCCAAGGUGGACCGUCAAGAUGGAUGGCCAGGUUUUAAGCAGUUCUUCCUUUGGUAGAGAAUUCAGCAGCUGGUGAAUGGGGACGGAUUGACAACACACAGCACGUGGCAAGCGUCCUCUAUCUGCUGCCCACUUCCACCUGUCAGCCUUCCCCACUGAAUCGCAUCUGCCAACCGAACACAGUUCAGCUGGAACAUGUCUGACCAGCUCUAAUUUGGACAGAGAGCAAAUCAAUUAUGCGUGCAAAUCCCUGGGCUACGGUUCACGUUCCCGACUGUCUAUCGAAGAGAAAUCUGCCAUUAUGACCAAAGGAGGUUGUUUUUGGACAUGCAAAGAUCCUGUCAGUCUGUCUGUCACAUAGCUGAAGUCUGUGUAGAUGGGACUAGGUUUACACUCGAUGGCUUGUGCAGGGUGAGGUCAGUGCAGCCACCUAUGGGGUGGGGUGCAGGGGCUGUUAAUAGAGGGACCCCUCAGUCAUUUGGAAAAAGCGAAGAAAUUUGUGACAUUGACACUGGCGAUCCAGAGGACUCCCCCACAAUGCUGAGAGGAGGUGGCAGCUGUGAGCAGCAUGGGGCUUACUGAACACUGGGUCAGCGUGUGGUGGAGCUGGGGGGCAGCCAUGGCUCCUCUUCAGCCAGCAGGAGCCGGAUGCAUCCAAAUUGGUGGCAGUGGGAUCCCAGCUGGGGGUUAGCUCCGGGUUGGGCACAGGCCGGCCAGGUGGGUCUGCACCCAGUGCUCCCUGCUGGCCCCUGGGGCUUCCCAGUUUGUGGCCCAGGGUAGCUUGGGGGGUGGGAAUGGGGAUCCCAGUUUGGGGGGGCUUAGAGCCUGAAGACAACAGGGCCAAUGCUGCACCCCAGCAGGGCAUUGGCGGCUUCCAGGC